This 388-nucleotide unclassified non-coding RNA is filed under the name soil metagenome. RNAcentral describes it as "partial contains 5.8S ribosomal RNA, internal transcribed spacer 2, and large subunit ribosomal RNA". The stretch from base 1 to 121 matches the Rfam family "5.8S ribosomal RNA", at positions 35 to 154 of the family's 154-position model. The record is from RNAcentral.
GAUGAAGAACGGUAGCGAAAUGCGAUAAGUAAUGUGAAUUGCAGAAUUCAGUGAAUCAUCGAAUCUUUGAACGCACCUUGCGCUCCUUGGUAUUCCGAGGAGCAUGCCUGUUUGAGUGUCAUUAAAUUCUCAAUCUCUACAGCUUUUGUUGUUUAGUAGAUUGGAUGUGGAGGUUCAUUUGUGUGGGAUGAAAAUCCCUCACUCCUCUUAAAUGUAUUAGCUGGAAUGCCUCUGCAUAUCUGACUAUCAGUGUGAUAAUUAUCUCUACUGUAGUUGUUGCAUGAGGGUAUCUGCUUCAUUAACCGUCGCAAGACAACUCUAAUGACCAUCUUGACCUCAAAUCAGGUAGGACUACCCGCUGAACUUAAGCAUAUCAAUAAGCGGAGGA